Molecule: long non-coding RNA, 353 nt
Organism: Xenia sp. Carnegie-2017
Lineage: Eukaryota; Metazoa; Cnidaria; Anthozoa; Malacalcyonacea; Xeniidae
Exons: 3
Source: RefSeq, a predicted model, not a curated record
GAAAGCAAUCAUGAAGGAUUUUUACUGAAAACACAAGACAAAUCUACGAAAUUCGUAACCUCCACAAUAGAAGGAGUACGAAAAUGGAGUCAAUACAGAGAUAUGUUUCCUCUCAUCUUUGAAAUAUUUGGUCAGUUUUUCAACACUGAAAAAAAUUUCUCUUUACAGCCAAAUUUCUAGUGAUAUCUAGUGAUAUCUUCUUCAUUUUAGUCACUUUGGACUCAGUACCAACAUCAAACAACAAUGGCACAGCAAAAAUUUUUAACAUCAAAGACCAGAGUGGCUCAAACAGGUGUAUCUACUGGGAAAUGGAUCAAAAAUUACCCAAAGUGGUUAAAGGCCAAGUUUAUAGG